Molecule: ribosomal RNA, 519 nt
Filed under: uncultured bacterium
Lineage: Bacteria
Description: bacterial SSU rRNA
Rfam family: Bacterial small subunit ribosomal RNA
Source: RNAcentral
AGUGAGCGCUGGCGGCGUGCCUAACACAUGCAAGUCGUGCGCGAAAGGGGAGCAAUCCCUGAGUAAAGCGGCGAACGGGUGAGUAACACGUGGUUAACCUGCCUGGAUGUGGGGGAUACCCCGGGGAAACUCGGGCUAAUACCGACGAUGAUGUCCCUUGGGCGACGGUCCGGGGGAGCAAAGCUGGGGACCCGCAAGGGCCUAGCGCAUCCAGAGGGGACCGCGGCCGAUUAGCUAGUUGGCGGGGUAAUGGCCCACCAAGGCGACGAUCGAUAGCCGGCCUGAGAGGGUGAUCGGCCACACUGGAACUGAGACACGGUCCGGACUCCUACGGGAGGCAGCAGUGGGGAAUUUUGCGCAAUGGGCGAAAGCCUGACGCAGCAACGCCGCGUAGAGGAUGAAGGAUCUCUGAUCCGUAAACUCCUGUCGGCCGGGACGAAACGGCGGGACGCUAAUCAGUCCCGCCUUGACUGUACCGGCGGAGGAAGCCCCGGCUAACUCCGUGCCAGCAGCCGCGGU